GUUGCGUGAAUGAGCGAUCGUCAAAAUCGGAGAAUCCAAACUCGCAAAUAGAAAGAAGCCAUUUCCCCAACACUUUUCUUCUUCUCCUCCUCCUCUGAUCAAUUCUUCUGCAAUCCAAUUGCAAAAUAAUCGAUAAUCGAAUAUGAUUGAGGUGAUUUUAAACGACAGGUUGGGAAGAAGGAUAGAGUCAAAUGCAACGAAGAUGAUACCAUUGGCGAUCUUAAAAAGCUCGUCGCUACUCAGACUGGUACCCGACCCGACAAGAUUGUAUCCAGAAGUGGUACACCAUCUACAAGGACCACAUAGUCAAGGAUUACGAGAUUCACGAUGGCACGGGUCUCGAGCUCUACUAUAACUAGUUUCUCGUCCAUUCUCUCUGGUCCGUUUC
Molecule: unclassified non-coding RNA, 388 nt
Filed under: Hevea brasiliensis (rubber tree)
Lineage: Eukaryota; Viridiplantae; Streptophyta; Magnoliopsida; Malpighiales; Euphorbiaceae
Source: RNAcentral